UACGUAGGGGGCAAGCGUUGUCCGGAUUCAUUGGGCGUAAAGAGCGUGUAGGCGGCCAGGUAGGUCGGUUGUGAAAACUGGAGGCUCAACCUUCAGAGGUCGACCGAAACCAUCUGGCUAGAGUCCGGAAGAGGAAAGUGGAAUUCCUGGUGUAGCGGUGAAAUGCGCAGAUAUCAGGAAGAACACCCGUGGCGAAGGCGGCUUUCUGGGACGGUACUGACGCUGAGACGCGAAAGCGUGGGGAGCGAACAGG
RNAcentral lists this ribosomal RNA (253 nucleotides) under uncultured bacterium. RNAcentral describes it as "partial 16S ribosomal RNA". It matches the Rfam family "Bacterial small subunit ribosomal RNA", at positions 524 to 776 of the family's 1533-position model. The record is from RNAcentral.